Molecule: long non-coding RNA, 2668 nt
Organism: Astatotilapia calliptera (eastern happy)
Lineage: Eukaryota; Metazoa; Chordata; Actinopteri; Cichliformes; Cichlidae
Source: Ensembl
GUAUGAUUUUACCAUCAAAACGUAGCCAUGGCUGUCCUCUUUCAUCCAAUGUGUUUACUAUUGUCCUAGGUGUUAUGGUUCUUUCAUAAAUGUCACCAAUGCACAGCCUCCUCCCUCCAACUCUUCCAUAGACUCCAAUGUUAAAAUGUCUCAGAAGGUUCGUUUGAAAAUCAGAAGAGCAUGGUGUCUUUCCACUGUCACCACGUCCAUAUAAUAAACUCCACAGGCAUGAAAACUGAGAAUUCAGUAGACUAGAAGCUGCUGUCACUCACGGUGAAAGAAUUUUGUCAAUACGACUUUUACUUUUCAUUUGGGAACGAUUUGUUUCGGCCUGACUUUUCUGUUCAUUUUAAGCAGCAAAAGUGAGGUGCAUGUCUGUGUACGUGUGUAUGGAGCCAUUGGGUGCGGUCACUAUAGCAACCAGGCUCACACCUGCCUGCUUAACGAGCUCUGCCUGCCACUGUACCAAGAUUCAUCUUAAGCACUUCUCUUUCAACUGCUGCUGUGUCCACAGUGUUAAAGCCAUCAUUUUACCCUCAAAACGUCGCCAUCGUUGUUCUUUUUCCAACAUCUUGUCUUUCAAAGCUCAGAGAUGUAAACUUUUUAAACUGUGUGGGUCCAAGUGGAGGGAUCACAUUUGAGUCAUUCAGUGAUUCAAAGAAUAUGACCUUUUAAUAUUCAUUCAGAUGUUUUCUGACUCUAAAUGUUCUUUUCUCAUUUCUUAGGGUUUUCUAAUUUAUAUUUAAAACAUUUUCAGUUUUUUUCCAACUCCUUCUUCUGUGUAACCUUCAGCUUUUAGCAGUUCAGCACCUUUGUUUUCAGGUUAAAUUCGUUUUUUUUUUUUGUUUUUUUUAAUCUCAUUCAAUAUUUUUAACUCAAAAUUCAGCAAUUAAUUCAUUUCAGUGCAUACAUUCAGAUUCAAGCAUUCACACUGCAGUUUCUUCAGAAAAUGCACUUUCUAGUUAUUAGUGUGAAUGCUUGAAAAGCAUUCACAGUAUUGUUAUUCGAAUCUUUAUUAUUAUUAUUAUUAUAUUUUAUUUUUCCGUACGUUUUUUGUAAGCCUACUCCUUCAAAACCGUUCAACUUAGAAAAACCAUUCAAACACCGUUAGAUUCCUAUUCUUUUGGACAACACUGCUUCUAUUUUUCAUAUUUUUAACAUUUAUAUUUUUAAUUUUAUUCAACUUUAUUCAACAAAAAUUUAUAAUGUAUUUCAAUGGGGAGACCCUUCAAAUCCUCAUUCAACUUACUCAUUUUUAAACUCUUACUACUUCCACAUACAUUGACAUAGAGCCACCAUUCAAACUUUAAAACGAAGACAAGACAUUCAACUAUUCAACUUGUAUUUAUCUUUUCAAUAUCUUUUAUACUUUUUCUUCAGUUCCAGUUUAAGUUUCAUGAUGUUUUUUCACCCGUUUCAGAGUUUAUAAUGGGUGUGUAUGGGACGGAAUGUUGGGGCUAGAGUGAGGCAGCUCAACUGCUAGAGUGAGAGGAGCAAAAAAAUUAAUCUUAAAAUCUUUUUUAAAACUGCUGCUGUGUCCGCAGCGUUUGCUCUACAGGUAUGAUUUUACCCUCAAAACGUAGCCAUCGCUGUCCUCUUUCAUCCAAUGUGUUUACUAUUGUCCUAGGUGUUAUGGUUCUUUCAUAAAUGUCACCAAUGCACAGCCUCCUCCCUCCAACUCUUCCAUAGACUCUAAUGUUAAAAUGGCUCAGAAGGUUCGUUUGAAAAUCAGAAGAGCAUGGUGUCUUUCCACUGUCACCACGUCCAUAUAAUAAGCUCCACAGGCAUGAAAACUGAGAAUUAGGUAGACUAGACAUUGCUGUCGCUCACGGUGAAAGAAUUUUGUCAAUACGACUUUUACUUUUCAUUUGGGAGCGAUUUGUUUCGGCCUGACUUUUCUGUUCAUUUUAAGCAGCAAAAGUGAGGCGCAUGUCUGUGUACGUGUGUAUGGAGCCAUUGGGUGCGGUCACUAUAGCAACCAGGCUCACACCUGCCUGCUUAGCGAGCUCUGCCUGCCACUGUACCAAGAUUCAUCUUAAACACUUCUCUUUCAACUGCUGCUGUGUCCACAGUGUUACAGCCAUCAUUUUACCCUCAAAUUGUCGCCAUUAUUGUUCUCUUUCCAACACCGUAUCUUUCAAAGCUCAGGCAUUUAAACUUUUUAAACUGUGUGGAUCAAAGUGGAGGGAUCACAUUUGAGUCAUUCAGUGAUUCAAAGAAUAUGACCUUUUAAUAUUCAUUCAGAUGUUUUCUGACUCUAAAUGUUCUUUUCUCAUUUCUUAGGGUUUUCUAAUUUACAUUUAAAACAUUUUCAGUUUUUUUCCAACUCCUUCUUCUGUGUAACCUUCAGCUUUUAGCAGUUCAGCACCUUUGUUUUCAGGUUAAAUUUGAUUUUUUGAUUUUUUUUUUAAUUUCAUUCAAUAUUUUUAACUCAAAAUUCAGCAAUUAAUUCAUUUCAGUGCAUACAUUCAGAUUCAAGCAUUCACACUGCAGUUUCUUCAGAAAAUGCACUUUCUAGUUUUAUAUAUAAUCCCUUCUUAAUUCCUGUUGACUGCAGUCUACUUAGCAAUAUAAGCAAAGGUAUUACACAUAGAAAACACAGAGAAGCAUUGGAAAUCACUUUUUGGGAGACAGAGGGGAGAGAGAAGAGUGCUGUCAUGUGAAGGAG